AACGAACGCUGGCGGCAUGCCUAACACAUGCAAGUCGAACGAGACCUUCGGGUCUAGUGGCGCACGGGUGCGUAACGCGUGGGAACCUGCCCUUAGGUUCGGAAUAACUCCCCGAAAGGGGUGCUAAUACCGGAUAAUGUCUUCGGACCAAAGAUUUAUCGCCUUUGGAUGGGCCCGCGUUGGAUUAGCUAGUUGGUAGGGUAAAAGCCUACCAAGGCGACGAUCCAUAGCUGGUCUGAGAGGAUGAUCAGCCACGCUGGGACUGAGACACGGCCCAGACUCCUACGGGAGGCAGCAGUGGGGAAUAUUGGACAAUGGGCGAAAGCCUGAUCCAGCAAUGCCGCGUGAGUGAUGAAGGCCUUAGGGUUAUAAAGCUCUUUUACCCGGGAUGAUAAUGACAGUACCGGGAGAAUAAGCUCCGGCUAACUCCGUG
This 433-nucleotide ribosomal RNA is filed under the name uncultured bacterium. RNAcentral's name for it is "partial 16S ribosomal RNA". It matches the Rfam family "Bacterial small subunit ribosomal RNA", at positions 29 to 507 of the family's 1533-position model. The record is from RNAcentral.